This 440-nucleotide ribosomal RNA is filed under the name uncultured Oxalicibacterium sp. RNAcentral describes it as "bacterial SSU rRNA". It matches the Rfam family "Bacterial small subunit ribosomal RNA", at positions 358 to 789 of the family's 1533-position model. Lineage: Bacteria; Pseudomonadati; Pseudomonadota; Betaproteobacteria; Burkholderiales; Oxalobacteraceae. The record is from RNAcentral.
GGAAUUUUGGACAAUGGGCGCAAGCCUGAUCCAGCAAUGCCGCGUGAGUGAAGAAGGCCUUCGGGUUGUAAAGCUCUUUUGUCAGGGAAGAAACGGUGGACUCUAAUACAGAUCACUAAUGACGGUACCUGAAGAAUAAGCACCGGCUAACUACGUGCCAGCAGCCGCGGUAAUACGUAGGGUGCAAGCGUUAAUCGGAAUUACUGGGCGUAAAGCGUGCGCAGGCGGUUGUGCAAGACAGAUGUGAAAUCCCCGGGCUCAACCUGGGAAUUGCAUUUGUGACUGCACGGCUAGAGUGUGUCAGAGGGGGGUAGAAUUCCACGUGUAGCAGUGAAAUGCGUAGAGAUGUGGAGGAAUACCGAUGGCGAAGGCAGCCCCCUGGGAUAACACUGACGCUCAUGCACGAAAGCGUGGGGAGCAAACAGGAUUAGAUACCCCUG